AUGAUUACAAGGGGAGAGAUCACGAACGAAGUGACGCCGAAGGAGCAAGUUAUGACACGAAUCUCUCAGGCAAAAAGACUCUUGUAGGACG
This 91-nucleotide non-coding RNA is filed under the name Pontibacillus litoralis. Its description in RNAcentral is "Glycine sequence". It matches the Rfam family "Glycine riboswitch aptamer". Rfam says of the family: This family represents the bacterial glycine riboswitch. Glycine riboswitches usually consist of two metabolite-binding aptamers domains with similar structures in tandem. Lineage: Bacteria; Bacillati; Bacillota; Bacilli; Caryophanales; Bacillaceae. The record is from RNAcentral. RNAcentral also lists the same sequence under 1 other name.